GUACACUACAGUAAACUACCCCACACUAGAGUACACUACAGUAAACUACACUACAGUAAACUACAGUACCUUGAUGACAUUGAAGUUAAACAAUGUGCCAUAUGUAGAUAAUAUGGAUUAGUGAGAUUUGUGUGCACACAAGAAGGUCAGAAAUGUUGGAUGUCUAGGUUAGGUGGAGAUUGAGGUCACCUGUGAGAGGAUAAGAACUCGCCAUUGUCUCCAGAAAGCCGGUCAGUCGGCUAGCAGCGAACAGGAUACCGGGUUGUGGAGAAGUAGACGACUUAGUGUGACGCUUCAGAGAUGCAUCCUCUCAUGGUGGCCAUCAUAACAACCAACACGUCGCUGUCGGUGAUUCUGUGGAACUUCCUGCUGUCCCAGGUGUUCUGCAAGAAGAUUAAAGACGCACCCCGAUCUGAGGAGGACGUACCUGUCUGAACUGGUUACUCGGCUCAGACCCGGACGAGAAUGAGGAGGAUGAGGAGGAGGUGGAGGCGUCCGGACAGGAAGACAGAGCAGGAGAGAAGAGGAACAAACAGAUAGACAACCACAGAGCCACCAGAGGAGACGACAACGAUCCAGGAUUUAAACUUUCAGUUAUAAGUUAAUGGCAGUAUUUUAUUUUACACAGUUUCCCAUUUCUCCUGCUGAUCAGUCUGUUCAGUUUCAUCAUCUUUAUUUUACUGAAUAAAACGUCACCAUAAACACCGUGGCAACCUUUAUAGCUAGAGUCUAUCAGCACUACAUGCUAAUAUCUUUAAAAAUGGUAGAUUAGCUACGUUUCAGAGCAAAUCUUUUGCUCUUUACAGCCAUGUUGUGUUAGUCUCUGGGACAGGAUUAAGUCUAGACUCGUGAGAAGUCAUUUUAAUAGUAAUGUUCUGGGAAUCGUUUAAUAAUACACUAACACUAACCCUAGCCGAUCGGAUCAAAUGUUUUGUGGACGAUAUACAACGUAAAUAGAAAAUGGGAAGCGCUGUUUUAUAGCCGAUCUUUUUUUUUUAUUUGAUUUUAUUUGAUUGUAGAUCAUCUUAAAGACAGGCCCAUUCUAGUCGUCCAUUUUGUACAUUUCGGUGUAUUUCUUUAUUUAUUUUCCUCUAGAACAUGACGGUUUGGUUACUUACUGUGGUUUCCAACAAGGCUGCUGUCCCAUCAUUUCUCUCUAAUGCAUGUAAUAAACUCACAGCUUUUCCUCUGA
Tachysurus fulvidraco (yellow catfish) is the source of this 1192-nucleotide long non-coding RNA. RefSeq lists it as uncharacterized. The record is from RefSeq and is a predicted model, not a curated record. The transcript has 2 exons. Lineage: Eukaryota; Metazoa; Chordata; Actinopteri; Siluriformes; Bagridae.